This 391-nucleotide ribosomal RNA is filed under the name Pseudozyma sp. DMKU-RE100. Its description in RNAcentral is "eukaryotic LSU rRNA". It matches the Rfam family "Eukaryotic large subunit ribosomal RNA", at positions 217 to 608 of the family's 3401-position model. The record is from RNAcentral. Lineage: Eukaryota; Fungi; Basidiomycota; Ustilaginomycetes; Ustilaginales; Ustilaginaceae.
AAUCCCGUACAUGGCAUGGAAAAAAACGGAACUUUGUGAGAAAGGAUCUCGCAGUNNAGUUGUUUGGGAAUGCANCUCAAAAUGGGUGGUAAAUGCCAUCUAAGGCUAAAUAUUGGGGAGAGACCGAUAGCGAACAAGUACAGUGAUGGAAAGAUGAAAAGAACUUUGAAAAGAGAGUUAAACAGUACGUGAAAUUGCCAAAAGGGAAGGGUAGGAGGUCAGAGAUGCGGCCUGGGAUUCAGCCUUGCUUUUGCUUGGUGUUUUUCCCAGAUUGCAGGCCAACGUCGGUUUUGGGCACUGGAGAAGGGUAGGAGGAACGUGGCACCUCUCGGGGUGUGUUAUAGCCUCCUACUGGAUACAGCGACCGAGACCGAGGACAGCAGCGUACUCG